CCUACGGGUGGCAGCAGUCGGGAAUUUUGCGCAAUGGGCGAAACCCUGACGCAGCAACGCCGCGUGAACGAGACGCCCUUCGGGUUGUAAAGUUCUUUCAGUGAGGACAAAAAAUGAAGAUACCCCCAGAGGAAGCACCGGCUAAAUCCUUGCCAGCAGCCGCGGUAAUACGGAGGGUGCAAGCGUUGUCCGGAAUCAUUGGGCGUAAAGAGUUCGUAGGCGGCAUGUAAAGUCAGGUGUUAAAGGCCCAGGCUCAACCUGUGUAUUGCACUUGAUACUUGCAAGCUGGAAUGCGGUAGAGGUAAGGGGAAUUCCUGGUGUAGCGGUGAAAUGCGUAGAUAUCAGGAGGAACACCAGUGGCGUAAGCGGUUUACUGGGCCGUAAUUGACGUUGAGGAACGAAAGCCAGGGGAGCAAAUGGGAUUAGAUACCCGUGUAGUC
Molecule: ribosomal RNA, 440 nt
Filed under: uncultured bacterium
Lineage: Bacteria
Description: partial 16S ribosomal RNA
Rfam family: Bacterial small subunit ribosomal RNA
Source: RNAcentral